AAGUCGUAACAAGGUUUCCGUAGGUGAACCUGCGGAAGGAUCAUUACAGUAGUGUGUUGGGUGCUUCGGCACCCCUCAUUAUCCCUGUGAUAUGUACUGUGUGUGUAAGUGUGUGUGUGCAUGCGUGUAUGUGUGCACACAUGCAUACCUCUUUUUUUACUCUGUUUUCAUUCUUAUGUGCAUUUGUGUACGUCAUGUACCAAUCAAAACCGAAAACUGCCAGCAAUGGAUCACUCGGUUCUC
RNAcentral lists this unclassified non-coding RNA (243 nucleotides) under fungal sp. RNAcentral's name for it is "partial internal transcribed spacer region". The stretch from base 1 to 46 matches the Rfam family "Eukaryotic small subunit ribosomal RNA", at positions 1786 to 1831 of the family's 1831-position model. The record is from RNAcentral. Lineage: Eukaryota; Fungi.